GCCAGGCAUGACGGCGUGCCUAUAGUCCCAGCUACUCAGAGGCUGAAGCGGGAAGAUUGCUUGUGCCUAGCAUUUCUGGGCUGUAUGCAGUACAUUGUGCUGAUCAGGUGUUUGUAUUAAGUUCUACCUCAGUAUGAUGACUUCCAUGUUGUUAAGGAGGGGUGAACCAGCCCAGGUUGGAAGUGGAGCUUGUCAAAACUCCUAAGCUGAUCAGUAGUGGAAUCAUAUCUGUGAAUAGCCAUUGCACUCCAGCCUGUGCAACAUAGCAAGACUCUGUCUCU
This 281-nucleotide signal recognition particle RNA is filed under the name Carlito syrichta (Philippine tarsier). Its description in RNAcentral is "Metazoan signal recognition particle RNA (ENSTSYG00000025771.1)". It matches the Rfam family "Metazoan signal recognition particle RNA". From Rfam's summary of the family: The signal recognition particle (SRP) is a universally conserved ribonucleoprotein. It is involved in the co-translational targeting of proteins to membranes. The eukaryotic SRP consists of a 300-nucleotide 7S RNA and six proteins: SRPs 72, 68, 54, 19, 14, and 9. Lineage: Eukaryota; Metazoa; Chordata; Mammalia; Primates; Tarsiidae. The record is from RNAcentral.